Molecule: ribosomal RNA, 489 nt
Filed under: uncultured bacterium
Lineage: Bacteria
Description: bacterial SSU rRNA
Rfam family: Bacterial small subunit ribosomal RNA
Source: RNAcentral
GAUGAACGCUAGCGGCAGGCUUAACACAUGCAAGUCGAGGGGCAGCAUGAGGGUUAGCAAUAACUCUUGAUGGCGACCGGCGCAAGGGUGCGUAACGCGUGAGCAACUUGCCCGUUUCUGGGGGAUAACCGGUGGAAACGCCGACUAAUACCCCAUGGCAUUGAUUUCAGGCAUCUGUUAUCAAUUAAAGAAUUUCGGAGACGGAUAGGCUCGCGUGACAUUAGCUAAGAUGGCGGGGUAACGGCCCACCAUGGCGACGAUGUCUAGGGGUUCUGAGAGGAAGGUCCCCCACACUGGAACUGAGACACGGUCCAGACUCCUACGGGAGGCAGCAGUGAGGAAUAUUGGUCAAUGGUCUGACGACUGAACCAGCCAUGCCGCGUGAAGGUGACGGCCCUAUGGGUCUUAAACUUCUUUUGCAAGGGAGCAAUAAGGCGUACGUGUACGUCGAUGAGAGUACCUUGCGAAUAAGCAUCGGCUAACUCCGUG